RNAcentral lists this ribosomal RNA (253 nucleotides) under uncultured bacterium. Its description in RNAcentral is "partial 16S ribosomal RNA". It matches the Rfam family "Bacterial small subunit ribosomal RNA", at positions 524 to 776 of the family's 1533-position model. The record is from RNAcentral.
UACGUAGGGUGCAAGCGUUAAUCGGAAUUACUGGGCGUAAAGCGUGCGCAGGCGGUUACGUAAGUCAGAUGUGAAAUCCCCGGGCUCAACCUGGGAAUGGCAUUUGAGACUGCGUGGCUAGAGUGAAUCAGAGGGGGGUAGAAUUCCACGUGUAGCAGUGAAAUGCGUAGAGAUGUGGAGGAAUACCGAUGGCGAAGGCAGCCCCCUGGGAAGUCACUGACGCUCAAGCACGAAAGCGUGGGGAGCAAACAGG